GGAUACGAGGGUGAUCUGGCUAUGACAUCUGUCAUCCCACUGAUCAACAGGGUUGAUUUGAUGAUUUGGUUGGCUAGGCGGGUAUCCUCUCCUCCCUCAAUGCUCCAUGUGCGUCACUCUGGAAGCUGUGCACGCAUGCUCGGUUGAAGAGGACGCCUUUCCUGAAUAGAGACAGACUGCAGUCUUCAGUCCAGUAGCUGCGCUCCCCUGCUAGAACCUCCAAACAAGCUCUCAAAGUCCAUUUGGAGGAGAACGUAGCAUAUUCAAGCUUCCAAAACUCCAGACACAUCCAAAUGAGGAGCUGCAUGUAGCAGUCUGCCUAAAAAA
This 327-nucleotide small nuclear RNA is filed under the name Erinaceus europaeus (western European hedgehog). RNAcentral describes it as "7SK RNA". It matches the Rfam family "7SK RNA". Rfam says of the family: 7SK was discovered as an abundant small nuclear RNA in the mid-70s but a possible function has only recently been suggested. The record is from Rfam by way of RNAcentral. Lineage: Eukaryota; Metazoa; Chordata; Mammalia; Eulipotyphla; Erinaceidae.